CCUACGGGGGAAAAAUUUAUUGCUAUUAGAUGAGCCUAUAUUAGAUUAGCUAGUUGGUGGAGUAAUAGCCUACCAAGGCAAUGAUCUAUAGCUGAUCUGAGAGGAUGAUCAGCCACACUGGAACUGAGAUACGGUCCAGACUCCUACGGGAGGCAGCAGUGGGGAAUAUUGGACAAUGGGCGAAAGCCUGAUCCAGCCAUGCCGCAUGAGUGAAGAAGGCCUUUGGGUUGUAAAGCUCUUUUAGUGAGGAAGAUAAUGACGGUACUCACAGAAGAAGUCCUGGCUAACUCCGUGCCAGCAGCCGCGGUAAUACGGAGAGGGCUAGCGUUAUUCGGAAUUAUUGGGCGUAAAGGGCGCGUAGGCGGAUUAGUAAGUUAAAAGUGAAAUUCCAAGGCUCAACCUUGGAAUUGCUUUUAAAACUGCUAAUCUAGAGAUUGAAAGAGGAUAGAGGAAUUCCUAGUGUAGAGGUGAAAUUCGUAAAUAUUAGGAGGAACACCAGUGGCGAAGGCGUCUAUCUGGUUCAAAUCUGACGCUGAGGCGCGAAGGCGUGGGGAGCAAACAGGAUUAGAUACCCUGGUAGUCCACGCUGUAAACGAUGAAUGUUAAAUAUGGGAAGUUUUACUUUCUGUAUUACAGCUAACGCGUUAAACAUUCCGCCUGGGGACUACGGUCGCAAGAUUAAAACUCAAAGGAAUUGACGGGGACCCGCACAAGCGGUGGAGCAUGUGGUUUAAUUCGAUGCAACGCGAAAAACCUUACCACUCCUAGACAUGGAAAUUAUACCUAUUCGAAGGGAUAGG
RNAcentral lists this ribosomal RNA (800 nucleotides) under uncultured bacterium. RNAcentral's name for it is "bacterial SSU rRNA". It matches the Rfam family "Bacterial small subunit ribosomal RNA", at positions 193 to 1013 of the family's 1533-position model. The record is from RNAcentral.